UCCGUAGGUGAACCUGCGGAGGGA
Molecule: ribosomal RNA, 24 nt
Filed under: Fusarium solani
Lineage: Eukaryota; Fungi; Ascomycota; Sordariomycetes; Hypocreales; Nectriaceae
Description: partial 18S ribosomal RNA
Source: RNAcentral